AGCCAGACUCCUACGGGAGGCAGCAGUGGGGGAUAUUGCACAAUGGGGGAAACCCUGAUGCAGCGACGCCGCGUGUGGGAAGACGGUCCUCUGGAUUGUAAACCACUGUCCCCAGGGACGAAGAUGACGGUACCUGGGGAGGAAGCUCCGGCUAACUACGUGCCAGCAGCCGCGGUAAUACGUAGGGAGCGAGCGUUGUCCGGAUUCACUGGGUGUAAAGGGAGCGUAGACGGCCAUGCAAGCCAGGGGUGAAAGCCCGGGGCCCAACCCCGGGACUGCCCUUGGAACUGCAUGGCUGGAGUGCGGGAGGGGCAGGCGGAAUUCCUGGUGUAGCGGUGAAAUGCGUAGAUAUCAGGAGGAACACCGGCGGCGAAGGCGGCCUGCUGGACCGUGACUGACGUUGAGGCUCGAGAGCGUGGGGAGCAAACAGGAUUAGAUACCCCUGUA
This 447-nucleotide ribosomal RNA is filed under the name uncultured bacterium. RNAcentral's name for it is "bacterial SSU rRNA". It matches the Rfam family "Bacterial small subunit ribosomal RNA", at positions 329 to 792 of the family's 1533-position model. The record is from RNAcentral.